GGGACAGUUCUCAGGGUUAUGUGGACCGCUGUCCGUUUGACACCAUCUGCUGAACUCCGGGUCUACACCCAAACCUGUAAAAAUUUUUCUUUCGGCCACCGGGAUCCCAUUCCUGGUAUCUCAACCCAGGUUUUCUUUUGGAGACUUUCCCUCCGUAAGGUGAUGAUUGGACUCGGCCCUGAGCUUCCUUCCGGCUUCUGGGCUUAGCGUGAAGAGAAAGUGGACUAGCUUCUGGUCUUCUCCGUCCCACCUACUAUAUUUCCACAGCCCUUCGUCGCAAUUAAGCCUUUGAGGAGAUCCGGGGAGUGAAGGGAGUGAGGACUUCAGGGGGCUAAGCCCAGUUCCCUUGAGGCUAGAGGACUCUUCUCCCUCUGCGAAGCUUAGGAGGGGUUUGCGCCUCUCGGUUCCAGCAAGUGUGAGGAAGACAGGUCGCCUUUGGGAGGUGGGGGUUGGAGGAUGUGUAAGCCAGCCACAAUUUUGCGAAUUACUCUAGAAAAUAGAAAUCCUUUUAAUGAACAAGAUGUUCUGCUACGAUCUUUGGCGUCACUGAACUGAAGCACUUUGGGAGUUUACUUUGUUGAACUAAUUAGGGAUCUGGAUGCGGUUUUGAACUAACUGGUCCAAUAGCUUCAGGAUUUCUUCCUCCAUGUAACCCGUGACACCUUCUGUUUCAGUUCAAGAUGCCUUUUGAAACACAGGCAUUGUCUCAGGAUGAACUUCGCAAGAAGUUGUACCAGACAUUUAAGAAUCGGGGUAUUUUGGAUACACUCAAGACUCAACUUCGAAACCAGCUUAUACAUGAGUUGAUGCAUCCUGUUUUGAGUGGAGAACUGCAGCCUCAGUCCAUUCCUGUUGAAGGAAGCUCAUUAUUAGUUGGGGCUUCUAAUAGCCUUGUGGCUGAUCAUCUUCGAAGAUGUGGUUAUGAAUAUUCACUCUCUGUUUUCUUUCCUGAAAGUGGUUUAGAAAAAGAAAAGGUAUUUACUAUGCAAGAUCUACUCCAACUGAUUAAAAUCAGCCCCAAAUCCAGUCUCUACAAAUCAUUGACUUCAAGGUUUCAAAAAGAGAACCAAAAAGGUUUUCUCAUGCAGAUUUUGAAGGAAUUGACAGAAUAUCAUCUAUCCAAGGAAAGUUGCAAUAUGGAGACUCAAACAAGUUCAGCAUUAUUACCUACUAGAGAAUCUCUUGCUGAAAAACUUCAGCUUAUUGAUGAGCAAUUUGCAGAUAUUUAUCCCCAGCGCCUUAAACUGGAAUCUUUAGAAACAAAGCUCAAUGAAUAUAAGAAAGAAAUAGAACAACAGCUUCAAUCAGAAAUGGCUCAAAAGCUGCAGCAUUUUAAAGAUAUUGAGAUAGCAAGAAUGAGAAUGGAAGAAAAAAGAAGACUCCAAAAAGAAAUGUCUGAAUUGCGGCAAGAAUUUGAAAAAACACACCAAGCAAAAUCCGAAGCACUAAUUUCUCGAGAAAAGAAUGCUAUUGAGAGACUUCAAAAGCACCAGGAGAUUGAAGCAAAAGAAAUUUACAUCCAGAGACAGGAUUUGCUGAAAGACAUUGAAAUGGUAAGAAGUAGAGAAGCUGAACUAAAGCAGCGAAUGGAAGCUUUUGAAUUAACCCAGAAGCUACAAGAAGAAAAAUAUAAAACCCUGGAAGAAUCCCUGAGAAGGAGAGAGCUGAAUGUUAGGAACAUGGAGGAUGCAUAUGAACAAAGGCUCAAGAAUGAACUUCUAAAAUAUCAGCUUGAACUAAAGGAAGAAUACAUAACCAGAUCUAAUAGAGUGCUUGAAGAAGAACAAAAGAACAAAGAGAAAGCUAUGCGUUUGCAAGAAGAAGCUAAUGCUAUUAAUUCAAGAAGGGAAGAACUCAGGGAAGCUAUAUCUCAUGGCAAAAAUCUUGAGCUUGAAUUGGAUUCUCUCAAAGAACAGAUUUUAUUAGUAACAAAACAAAACCAGUCACUGAGUGAAAAAAUUAAAGAUACUACUGAUUAUUUACUUUUAAAAGAAGAUCGACUGGCGCUUCAGGCACAAAAUAAAUUGCUUAAACAACAAAUGGAAGAGAUUCAAAAUGAAAACAUGCACCUCCAAAGAAAAUCUACUCAGCCAUCACCUGAGUUCAUAGCCUUACAGAAAGAAUCAAAGAUGACAGAAAACGCAAGAAAGCUUGAACAAAAGGCAUUUGAGACUGAGAAACAAUCCCUGGAAAAACGACUUCAAACCGAGGUUGAACGUUGUUCAUUACUGAAGAACCAGAUAUUAGAUUAUGAAGUUUCUACGAGGAGGUUAAAUAUGCAGAUUGAUGACUUGAAAUUGCAACUUAGGCAAACCCAGACAGCUUUAGAAAAUGAAGUAUACCGAAACUCGAAGCCAUCGUUGGUUGAUCACUCAGGCAUUAAUUUCACAAGUGACAAGAUUGUACCUCAUGAUAAUUAUAUAGAUAAUUUUUUCAAGAAUCGACUCUUUUCUGAUGAUAUUGUCCAGUGUGAAGAUGUUCCAAGGAGCAGGUAUUACCAGCAUCCCAGAAUUGGGAGUGAUUCCACAGAUACUGACCUUGAAUUUGUAGCUAGUACUAAAGCAAGGGUUAAAGAACUAGAAAAAGAGGCAGAACACUUAGAAGAAGCCUACAGGAAUUACCAGCAACGAGUUUCUCAAACCACAUUGAAAAGCAUUUCACCAGCAAGGAGUCAGUCUCCUUUACUUAUACCAGAAAUUCUAAGUAGUAGCAUUCUUGAAAAACAUAUUUUUGCGGAGAACAAAUUUGUUUCUGAGCAGCUUCCACUCAGCAGUUCAAAAGAUGAAAGGGGUGAUGGGAUUACUGAUUACCAAACUCCACAGCAAAGGAGAACUCCUUCCCCCAAACAUCUUUCCUCUACUCCACGUCCAAAAGCAAGGAGAAGCCUUAGUAGCCAGAUCUAUUUAGGAGGUAACAAUGAUGGUUCAUUUGUUGGGUCUCCCUGUCCACCUGCUGACAAAAUUCCAUCACCAAUUCCGAAGACAAGUCAACCCCUUUCUGCAUUAUCUGCUCCCAAUAUCUCAGUUUCUUGCUUACCAGGCAAUCAUGAACAGAAUUCAAGUAAUUCUGAGAAGCACACGUAUCAAGAUAUAAGUGGAUUUUCAGAUGCAGAGAAAUUAGACAUUGAAGAUGUUCAAAAUCAGUCUUCUUUAGAAUGGAAUAAUGGAGCCAUUGUCCAAACCUCUUUUAGAUGGUGGGAACAUUCCAAAGCAACUUGAAAGAGAUGUGUUAUAUCAAUCGGGAGAUAAGGUUCCCACUAACAAUAUCAUAGACAAUGAGCCAACAAUAACUACUUUUCAUCAAGACCCAAAUUUAGAAGAACAGAACACAGAAGAAAAAUGGGAAGAGAAACGGAGAGAGAGAGAAGAAAAGCGACAGAGAGAAAGAUUGGAAGUUUUUGAAAGAGAACAAAAA
Molecule: RNA transcript, 3414 nt
Organism: Monodelphis domestica (gray short-tailed opossum)
Lineage: Eukaryota; Metazoa; Chordata; Mammalia; Didelphimorphia; Didelphidae
Gene: OFD1
Gene name: OFD1 centriole and centriolar satellite protein
Source: RefSeq, a predicted model, not a curated record